GACGAACGCUGGCGGCGUGCUUAACACAUGCAAGUCGAACGGAAAGGCCCUGCUUUUGUGGGGUGCUCGAGUGGCGAACGGGUGAGUAACACGUGAGUAACCUGCCCUUGACUUUGGGAUAACUUCAGGAAACUGGGGCUAAUACCGGAUAGGAGCUCCUGCUGCAUGGUGGGGGUUGGAAAGUUUCGGCGGUUGGGGAUGGACUCGCGGCUUAUCAGCUUGUUGGUGGGGUAGUGGCUUACCAAGGCUUUGACGGGUAGCCGGCCUGAGAGGGUGACCGGCCACAUUGGGACUGAGAUACGGCCCAGACUCCUACGGGAGGCAGCAGUGGGGAAUAUUGCACAAUGGGCGGAAGCCUGAUGCAGCAACGCCGCGUGCGGGAUGACGGCCUUCGGGUUGUAAACCGCUUUCGCCUGUGACGAAGCGUGAGUGACGGUAAUGGGUAAAGAAGCACCGGCUAACUACGUGCCAGCAGCCGCGGUGAUACGUAGGGUGCGAGCGUUGUCCGGAUUUAUUGGGCGUAAAGGGCUCGUAGGUGGUUGAUCGCGUCGGAAGUGUAAUCUUGGGGCUUAACCCUGAGCGUGCUUUCGAUACGGGUUGACUUGAGGAAGGUAGGGGAGAAUGGAAUUCCUGGUGGAGCGGUGGAAUGCGCAGAUAUCAGGAGGAACACCAGUGGCGAAGGCGGUUCUCUGGGCCUUUCCUGACGCUGAGGAGCGAAAGCGUGGGGAGCGAACAGGCUUAGAUACCCUGGUAGUCCACGCUGUAAACGGUGGGUACUAGGUGUGGGGUCCAUUCCACGGGUUCCGUGCCGUAGCUAACGCUUUAAGUACCCCGCCUGGGGAGUACGGCCGCAAGGCUAAAACUCAAAGGAAUUGACGGGGCCCCGCACAAGCGGCGGAGCAUGCGGAUUAAUUCGAUGCAACGCGUAGAACCUUACCUGGGUUUGACAUGGAUCGGGAGUGCUCAGAGAUGGGUGUGCCUCUUUUGGGGUCGGUUCACAGGUGGUGCAUGGCUGUCGUCAGCUCGUGUCGUGAGAUGUUGGGUUAAGUCCCGCAACGAGCGCAACCCUUGUUCACUGUUGCCAGCACGUUAUGGUGGGGACUCAGUGGAGACCGCCGGGGUCAACUCGGAGGAAGGUGGGGAUGACGUCAAGUCAUCAUGCCCCUUAUGUCCAGGGCUUCACGCAUGCUACAAUGGCUGGUACAGAGAGUGGCGAGCCUGUGAGGGUGAGCGAAUCUCGGAAAGCCGGUCUCAGUUCGGAUUGGGGUCUGCAACCCGACCUCAUGAAGUCGGAGUCGCUAGUAAUCGCAGAUCAGCAACGCUGCGGUGAAUACGGUCCCGGGGCU
RNAcentral lists this ribosomal RNA (1346 nucleotides) under uncultured bacterium. RNAcentral describes it as "partial 16S ribosomal RNA". It matches the Rfam family "Bacterial small subunit ribosomal RNA", at positions 28 to 1381 of the family's 1533-position model. The record is from RNAcentral.